Long non-coding RNA from Octopus sinensis (East Asian common octopus), 226 nucleotides. RefSeq lists it as uncharacterized. The record is from RefSeq and is a predicted model, not a curated record. NCBI's taxonomy places the organism in Eukaryota, Metazoa, Mollusca, Cephalopoda, Octopoda, Octopodidae. The transcript is spliced from 3 exons.
UGUUCUUUUCGACUAUCUAAUACUUUCUUGAUUAUUCUGGAUGUAUUGAGGAGGAAAACCUUUUGUAACAGAUCUAUUGGGCACUCUAUUCUGAUUCCCUUUAUAUUCUUCUAGAUGUCUUCUGGUACUGACCCCAAAGACCCAGCAGUAAUUGACACUAUCUUCACCUUCUUCAUUCUCCAUAGCUGGGCUAUUUUGUAUGUAAGGGGAUAGUUAUAUUCAUUUU